AUCUAUGGCCAUACCACCCUGAAUGUGCCGGAUCUAGUCUGAUCUUGGAAGCUAAGCAGGGUCGGGCCUGGUUAGUACUUGGAAGGGAGACCGCCUGGGAAUACUGUAGGCUUUUUUUU
Ribosomal RNA from Mustela putorius furo (domestic ferret), 119 nucleotides. Lineage: Eukaryota; Metazoa; Chordata; Mammalia; Carnivora; Mustelidae. The record is from Ensembl.